UACGUAGGGUGCGAGCGUUGUCCGGAAUUACUGGGCGUAAAGAGCUCGUAGGUGGUUUGUCGCGUUGUUCGUGAAAACCGGGGGCUUAACCCUCGGCGUGCGGGCGAUACGGGCAGACUUGAGUACUGCAGGGGAGACUGGAAUUCCUGGUGUAGCGGUGGAAUGCGCAGAUAUCAGGAGGAACGCCGGUGGCGAAGGCGGGUCUCUGGGCAGUAACUGACGCUGAGGAGCGAAAGCGUGGGGAGCGAACAGG
RNAcentral lists this ribosomal RNA (253 nucleotides) under uncultured bacterium. RNAcentral describes it as "partial 16S ribosomal RNA". It matches the Rfam family "Bacterial small subunit ribosomal RNA", at positions 524 to 776 of the family's 1533-position model. The record is from RNAcentral.